AUUGAACGCUGGCGGCAGGCUUAACACAUGCAAGUCGAGCGGGGUGAUGGUGUUCGCACUAUCACUUAGCGGCGGACGGGUGAGUAAUGCUUAGGAAUUUGCCUAUUAGUGGGGGACAACAUCUCGACAGGGAUGCUAAUACCGCAUACGUCCUACGGGUGAAAGCAGGGGAUCACUAGUGACCUUGCGCUAAGAGAUGAGGCUAAGGCGGAGUAGCGAGUUGGUGGGGUAAAGGCCUACCAAGGCGACGGUCUGUAGCGGGUCUGAGAGGGUGAUCCGCCACACUGGGACGGGGACACGGCCCAGACUCCUACGGGAGGCAGCAGUGGGGAAUAUUGGACAAUGGGGGGAACCCUGAUCCAGCCAUGCCGCGUGUGUGAAGAAGGCCUUAUGGUUGUAAAGCACUUUAAGCGAGGAGGAGGCUCUUUUGGUUAAUACCCAAGAUGAGUGGACGUUACUCGCAGAAUAAGCACCGGCUAACUCUGUGCCAGCAGCCGCCGUAA
Molecule: ribosomal RNA, 503 nt
Filed under: uncultured bacterium
Lineage: Bacteria
Description: partial 16S ribosomal RNA
Rfam family: Bacterial small subunit ribosomal RNA
Source: RNAcentral